Molecule: long non-coding RNA, 493 nt
Organism: Papaver somniferum (opium poppy)
Lineage: Eukaryota; Viridiplantae; Streptophyta; Magnoliopsida; Ranunculales; Papaveraceae
Exons: 3
Source: RefSeq, a predicted model, not a curated record
UGGAUACGUUUUAUCAAGAUGUUCUCUCUUCCUCUUUCUUGCUGUGGUUUGAGAACUUAGGUUACUCAUACUCAGUCAUGGUACUAACUUAAUCCAUUUAAAGAAGGUUUGAUCUUUUCAAAGCAUGGUUUUAUUUUAUUUGGUAUAAAAAAGGGAACAUCUUGUGAUUAUUCCAUUGUAUUAAGGUUCGGUGACUGUUUGCGAUCUAAAGUCUCUGCAUCAACUUUAUUUGAUCUAGUUGAUCAAAUUUGUUGAUUUACAGUGCAUAAACGGAUACUGCUAAUGAGUUUUGGAAUGUUUCCAUUGCAAGAAGAAGAUGGGGACGUAGAAGAAAAGAAAGGAAAAAAAAAGAAUCGUUCUUCACCAAUAAUUUUCUGAAAGAACCAGAUAAAACUGGUUAUCCUUUAAUCCUGUAUUGCUUCAAAAAAUGAAAAAAAAACAAAAGUUAUCCUGUAUUAUUUUAAGUAAUAUAUAUUCAGUAAUAUUUGUAAGU